GGAUGCGGUCAUACUAGCACUAAAGCACCGGAUCCCAUCAGAACUCCGAAGUUAAGCGUGCUUGGGCGAGAGUAGUACUAGGAUGGGUAACCAACUGGGAAGUCCUCAUGUUGCAUUCC
RNAcentral lists this ribosomal RNA (119 nucleotides) under Triticum aestivum (bread wheat). Lineage: Eukaryota; Viridiplantae; Streptophyta; Magnoliopsida; Poales; Poaceae. The record is from RNAcentral.